ACGGAGGGUGCAAGCAUUAAUCGGAGUUAUUGGGCGUACAGGGCGCGUAGGCGGGGUUAUAAGUUAGACGUGAAAUCCCGGGGCUCAACCCCGGAACCGCGUAUAAUACUGUGACUCUUGAGGAUAGACGGAGAAAGCGGAAUUCCACAAGUAGCGGUGAAAUGCGUAGAUAUGUGGAAGAACACCUGUGGCGAAGGCGGCUUUCUGGACUGUAACUGACACUGAGGCAUGAAAGCGUGGGGAGCAAACA
RNAcentral lists this ribosomal RNA (250 nucleotides) under uncultured bacterium. RNAcentral's name for it is "partial 16S ribosomal RNA". It matches the Rfam family "Bacterial small subunit ribosomal RNA", at positions 525 to 774 of the family's 1533-position model. The record is from RNAcentral.